RNAcentral lists this long non-coding RNA (619 nucleotides) under Pan troglodytes (chimpanzee). RNAcentral describes it as "lincRNA". Lineage: Eukaryota; Metazoa; Chordata; Mammalia; Primates; Hominidae. The record is from RNAcentral.
GACAGAGAAAUGAAAAGAAGGGACUAAUAGGGAAUAAGACGUGUGAUCCAUGGCCCGAUGGCCCUGAUGGACGUGAAGAUCCACUGUUGUGGAAGGAGUGGAACACUAACACUGAAUGAUGGAGGCUGUGGUCAGAAACAGAUUUGUCUGAAUUUCAGUUGAUCCAGAGCAAGAAAAAUAGCUGAAUAUAACUGGCCAGUGCAGAAGAGCCUAUGAAGGUGGAAAAUGGAGGAAGGAGGACCCCAUGCUGGAGAAGUGAUGGAGAUUUGAAGUCUUGGAAGAUGGUGGCAAGGGAGAUGCCAGAGAUGAGACAAAACCUAAUACUCUGUUAAACAUCUGUAAUCUAACAAUCUUCUAUGGGAGUUUAUUAUAUUUCCAUAUCCCAUGUUCACUUCUAGUGAAAAAUAAAAAUAAAAUCUUAAGCCCCCCACAGCUGACUAAAUGGAUCCCAUUGUGAAAGGAAAAUAUCUUGAGCCUCCAAAAUCACUAAGGAAAAUUCAAGCUGGAAACUUCUUAGGACAAACCUGCCUCCCAUUCUCUUCAAAGUUAUUCCUCUGCUCGAGGAGCUAGAUGCAUAUCUGAUUGCCGCCUUUGGAAAGGCUAACCAGAAACUCAAAAG